UGUGCUGUGAGAAUACACAUCAUUUACCUAGUUUUUUAGGGUAAGGCCGUGUGCCUUCACAUGGAGGAAUUCAUUCUCCCCUCUCCCUCCCCUCAGCGUGAGUAUGUGUGUGCAUGCACACACGUGCACAUGGGUGUAGAGAAUAGGUCUUCUCAUGCUUACUGCAGCCUAAUUCUUAUUAGACAGUGACAUCAGAAUUGGUAAGUGGAAAAUGUUUUGUGAUUAGCACAGAAGGCAGUAAUCAAGUAGAAUCAAAACUGCUCUGAAAACCUCUUAGAUCUGCCACGAAGCAUGCAUACUUUGUCUCAUUAAUGCAAACUCACAGAUAUUCUUAGGGACAUCUACGUGUAACUACUCUGGGUUAGAAGAGUAAUUCUAGGAGGAUGCUCUUUAGCAGGCAUGCAGGUCUUGAAACCACUUGUCAUGUGUGAUAACCACAAUCCCUGAUAUGGAAGGGACAUUCUAGAUUGUUCCUGAUGGCCAGUAACUGUUUCACUUGUUGUUCUCAAACUGUGGGUCCCUGGGGGCCAGCAGUGUCAGUGUUGCUGGGGAGCUUGUUAAAAAUGCAUAUUCCCGGGCCCCACCCAGACUUACGCAAUUAGAAACUGGCCAUUCAGCUGUGUUUUCCCCUAGGUGAUUCUGAUGCAUUAUAAAUUUGAGAACUGGUUUUAAUAUUUAGCCUCUAUAGUUUAAUAUAGAUGGACAGAUUUGUUUGCCGAUAUGAAGAUGACAGUCUCUGUGACAGAACCCACAUUUUUGCUGGAUUGAGUCGAAGUCCUAAAAGACUAUUUCUUUACAUAGGAAUCUUUUUUUUGGGGGGGGGUGGUACUGAGAAUUGAACUUUGCCUCUGAGUCACACCCCCAGGCCCUUUUUACUAAGUUGCUGAGGCUGACCUUGAACUUGUGCCUCAGCCUCCCAAAUUACUGGGAUUACAGGUGUGCACCACCCUUGCAGAGGACUCUUUGAGGAGCUUGAGAGAAGACUGGCUGCUUACCCGCUGCCUUUCCCAGGUGAUGUUUGCAAUGAACAGAGUCAGGCCAUUCCUUGGACAUUGGUCUCAUCUCAGAAGUAGGAGAUGGGGAAUGAGGCUUUGUUGUCUCCUCAGAACCCGAGGACAUUAAAAUUGAGCAAGGCGGUCUCAUCCUCAUAGCAGAGGGUUCUGCAGGCAGGAAGGGGCCCACAGAAGGCACAGGCUCCCUUGUCAGCACUAGUUGCUCUACGGGCUUCCCCGGCAGCAGAGCAAUUACGGUUUCCUUUAUUGUAGAGUCUUCGUUUAGAUCUUGUCACUUUUAAGAGACAAGCCUUUUGAAAAGAGGUGAAUUCUUCCUAAAAUUUUACUCUGAAGAGGGAUUAGUGCCACUUUCCAGACUAAAGAUAGUAUUGUAUGUGUGAGUUCUUUUAUCCUUUAUUUUUCCCCAAGCAGCUGUGAUAAGCAUGGCCGGAGUACUCCAUGCUCUCUUGCUUCACCAGCAGAACACAAACGUAGCUCCUCUGGGUCUUUUCUCAUUCAGUCCUGCUUUUUUUUUUUUUUUUGUACUGGGCAUUGAACCCAGAGGUGCUUUAC
Molecule: long non-coding RNA, 1565 nt
Filed under: Marmota monax (woodchuck)
Lineage: Eukaryota; Metazoa; Chordata; Mammalia; Rodentia; Sciuridae
Source: RNAcentral